GCACUGUUGACGAGUCCCAAACAGGAGGAAACAGUUGUCCAGUGC
This 45-nucleotide non-coding RNA is filed under the name Echinostoma caproni. Lineage: Eukaryota; Metazoa; Platyhelminthes; Trematoda; Plagiorchiida; Echinostomatidae. The record is from RNAcentral.